GAGUGCUGGCGUAGUGGGAGCACACUCACCUUUGAGGUGAGAAGUCCCGAGUUCAAGCCUUGGGUGUGUCG
RNAcentral lists this transfer RNA (71 nucleotides) under Fasciola hepatica (liver fluke). RNAcentral describes it as "tRNA-Gln". Lineage: Eukaryota; Metazoa; Platyhelminthes; Trematoda; Plagiorchiida; Fasciolidae. The record is from RNAcentral.